AUGGGAAGGGAUUACUGUGAAAGGAGCUAACAGAAUGGAUUCCAGCUGAACUUUAUUCUUUUUGUUCCAGAUUUCUUCUCAAAUGUCAAGUUAGUCUUCCACAGAUAAUGCAUUUUAUAUUGUAUGUGAUUCUGGAUAGGUCAUGGAUAAUCUCAGGCAAGGGCUCUGAAUGAGAACAAUUACUGCUUUGGAGGAGAUAUGGAACAGCUGAAUCCUCAGCUUUGGAGGGGACACUAUAGAUAAUCUGGCAAAGAAGGAGGGAAAAGGUCCAUACUAAUACAAGAUGCUAAGACUUUGUCAUCGAAUCCAACAGACAACUACCCAAGUACACACUAACUCUCUGCCAUUAAAGCCAACUACCCAACCCAGACAUACCAGUUACACAAUAAUGCUUCCAUCAGUGGUAACAAUAUGCCAAUGACGUCUUAGCAACAUGACGAUUGUAUGACCAUUACCCGCAGACACACUGGAUCCAAGGAAUCAGAACUUGCCCUCAGGCAGCUUCCCUACUACUAAGCCAAAGUAUUUUGCUGGGGCUGCUGCUGCUACUUCUGCAUGGUGUUGGGAGAGUUCUGUUAUAUAAUAAGAAAUGAUAAGCCAGAUAUUGUCAGAAAAACAUGGGAAGACUUACAUGAAGUUAGCAGAAUGAGGACAACAGUGCACUUGGUAACAGCAAGAUUGUUCAAUGAAGAACUGGGAAUGACGUAGCUAUUCUGACAAAUAUGAAGGACUUAUUGUGAAAAAUGCUCUGCACUUCCAAAAAAAGAACUGAUGAAGUGAAUCACCUCUGGCAACAAUAGCAAACGCUAUGGUUUUGAGAUGAAGAGCACACAAGAUCUGUCAGAUACUCAUUAUCCUUUACAAGUUAUCACUGAAUUACUGGCAGGGGAUGAAUAAUUAUAUUUAAAAAGAACUUGUGUUCCACAGGGUGGACCUUCCCGGAGAAGUCAAGACUCCCUCAGCAGACUCCUACUGGGAACCGAGGACUUCUUAAUUGCUAAAACUUGAGAGCCCCUUGGAGUUGCCUUCAAUUCUCCUCCUCAAGCUCCAGCAUCAGGAUCAAUCAUCACUUGGAACAGACACAACGUCUUACAGCAUUUUAUAAUCAACUUCAGUCUUUUCCUUCACACAGAAAUGUUCUCUGCCCUUUUCAUCCCCAGAUUGCAGUGUAUCUUCCACUCUGAAUGAGUUUCUAAAUAUCACAUGAACGUACCUGAGUCAGACCUAUGGUCUGUAUCCAUGGAAGGAGAACCCGAAAGGUGGAAUGACUAAGCAUCAUCCCCCACGCUACGCCCACCUAAGACUCCCUAUUGUUCAUGCUUUAGGACAAAGAACUCUUUUUUUAAUGAAUUCUUCAUGGAAACAACUAAGCUCCUGGAAGGGUCAGCUCAAGAACCACUUGUAUUAAGGCCUUUCUGGAUUUUCCCUGGGUGUCGGUGGCCUCUCUCCCUGUCACCACAGACUCCAGAAAGUUUCCAGACCUCAGUAGCUCAGUACAAUAAAACAUGGGAGCCACAACCAGAAAAUAAA
Molecule: long non-coding RNA, 1530 nt
Filed under: Sarcophilus harrisii (Tasmanian devil)
Lineage: Eukaryota; Metazoa; Chordata; Mammalia; Dasyuromorphia; Dasyuridae
Description: lncRNA (ENSSHAG00000023587.1)
Source: RNAcentral